Molecule: non-coding RNA, 583 nt
Filed under: Pan troglodytes (chimpanzee)
Lineage: Eukaryota; Metazoa; Chordata; Mammalia; Primates; Hominidae
Source: RNAcentral
GCGGAGGGCGGGGCCGGCGCGUUGAGGCAGGAGCGAGCGCAGCCUCGGCGGUCAACGCGCUUUAUUCCGAGGGGCUUCAGAUACAGAUGGCCCCAGCCCUGCAUCCGCCCGGAAGGCGUCCCCUUACUCCCAUGGGGCACCUCGAUACCAGCCGCCCUGCCCUGACUCACUUCUCAGCACCCAUCUUACGGCAGUCGGCCCUGGCCUCAGACCCUUGGGUUCAGAUCCCAGGCCCUCCUCCUACUCACUGAAAAGAGAUGUCCAGGGCACAGCUUGGGGCCCCAGAAAGUAACCAUGGAGGUCAAGAUCACAAACCCGUCAGUGUCCAGGGCAUGGCCUGGCACACAUCCGAGGUUUUAAAGGACCAUGAAGUGCCAUGGAAAGCAUCCUGGCCUGAGGGUUAGGAGAGCUGGAUCUCAGGCUCAACUUUAGCCUGAAUUCGGUGCGUCAUCUUAGACAAAUCUGCUCAAGUCCUGUUCCUUGUUUAACCAGCAUUUAUUAAGUACUUGCAGUAUACCAGCCACUAUUUUGGACAUUAGUGAUAUGGAGUGUAAUAAAGGCUUAAUAAAGGCUAAUUGUGAUC